Molecule: ribosomal RNA, 253 nt
Filed under: uncultured bacterium
Lineage: Bacteria
Description: partial 16S ribosomal RNA
Rfam family: Bacterial small subunit ribosomal RNA
Source: RNAcentral
UACGGGGGGGGCAAGCGUUGUUCGGAAUUACUGGGCGUAAAGGGCGCGUAGGCGGUUCGCUAAGUUGGAUGUGAAAACUCUGGGCUCAACCCAGAGCCUGCAUCCAAAACUGGCGGGCUAGAGUUCUGGAGGGGGUAGCGGAAUUCCUGGUGUAGCGGUGAAAUGCGUAGAGAUGUGGAGGAACACCGAUGGCGAAGGCAGCCUCCUGGGCCAACACUGACGCUCAUGCACGAAAGCGUGGGGAGCAAACAGG